Molecule: ribosomal RNA, 459 nt
Filed under: uncultured Rhodocyclaceae bacterium
Lineage: Bacteria; Pseudomonadati; Pseudomonadota; Betaproteobacteria; Rhodocyclales; Rhodocyclaceae
Description: bacterial SSU rRNA
Rfam family: Bacterial small subunit ribosomal RNA
Source: RNAcentral
GCACAAGCGGUGGAUGAUGUGGAUUAAUUCGAUGCAACGCGAAAACCUUACCUACCCUUGACAUGUCCGGAAUCCCGAAGAGAUUUGGGAGUGCUCGCAAGAGAACCGGAACACAGGUGCUGCAUGGCUGUCGUCAGCUCGUGUCGUGAGAUGUUGGGUUAAGUCCCGCAACGAGCGCAACCCUUGUCAUUAGUUGCCAUCAUUUGGUUGGGCACUCUAAUGAGACUGCCGGUGACAAACCGGAGGAAGGUGGGGAUGACGUCAAGUCCUCAUGGCCCUUAUGGGUAGGGCUUCACACGUCAUACAAUGGUCGGUACAGAGGGUUGCCAACCCGCGAGGGGGAGCUAAUCCCACAAAGCCGAUCGUAGUCCGGAUCGCAGUCUGCAACUCGACUGCGUGAAGUCGGAAUCGCUAGUAAUCGUGGAUCAGAAUGUCACGGUGAAUACGUUCCCGGGUCUU